AUCUCUUUGCCUUUUGGCUUAGAUCAAGUGUAGUAUCUGUUCUUUUCAGUGUAACAACUGAAAUGACCUCAAUGAGGCUCAUUACCUUUAUUAUUUGUUACAAUACUCAUUUUUUGGAAGCACUUAAAUGGGCGGGAAGAAACUGAGAGGAUCCUUCCUAUUGUCUAUUCAAU
Molecule: small nuclear RNA, 173 nt
Rfam family: U2 spliceosomal RNA (bases 1-111)
About the family: U2 is a small nuclear RNA (snRNA) component of the spliceosome (involved in pre-mRNA splicing). Complementary binding between U2 snRNA (in an area lying towards the 5' end but 3' to hairpin I) and the branchpoint sequence (BPS) of the intron results the bulging out of an unpaired adenosine, on the BPS, which initiates a nucleophilic attack at the intronic 5' splice site, thus starting the first of two transesterification reactions that mediate splicing.